This is a long non-coding RNA of Diachasma alloeum, 481 nucleotides long. RefSeq lists it as uncharacterized. The transcript has 3 exons. NCBI's taxonomy places the organism in Eukaryota, Metazoa, Arthropoda, Insecta, Hymenoptera, Braconidae. The record is from RefSeq and is a predicted model, not a curated record.
UGCCAACACGACAAGAUUCGAAAAUCACAUUGAUUGGUCAUGGAACUGCAGAAAUACAGGGGAACCAGUUACUUUCAAAGAGACAAGUUCUAGAGUUUCUUUUCUUAUACGAGACACGCCACGCCAAAAUUGACUAUUCAAGAAGGUGCGAAGUGCGUUAUUCGUCUGGGUAGAAGGAUGCGCAAAUCCACCCAAUUUGGGAGUUUCAAAUGUUCAGAGCUCAACCUGGAAUUACAGUAUGUAGAUUUGAGCGACAUUAUUUUCAAAUGCUAUCGGACACCAUACUGGCCUCUACCUGAAGAUAAGAAUUUUCCACCUGUCGAUCCAUUACCUGGAAUAUUCAUUGCAACAACCAUGUUAUAACCACACAUCAUCAGACCGUCACUAGUCUGACAGUGCGCCGCAGCGCGAAGAUACCAAUGAGACACUGAGUCAUGGUGUCAUUCGGGAUGUUUCGAUAUGGAUAUGGACACGGAUGGUG